Molecule: long non-coding RNA, 283 nt
Organism: Anguilla anguilla (European eel)
Lineage: Eukaryota; Metazoa; Chordata; Actinopteri; Anguilliformes; Anguillidae
Exons: 3
Source: RefSeq, a predicted model, not a curated record
CGAUAUGCAGGUGUGUUCAGGUGAGACAGUACUGUGUUGUUUGCAGGUCUAGCAGUACGCAGGUGUGUUCAGGUGAGACAGUACUGUGUCGUUUGCAGGUCUAGCAGUACGCAGGUGUGUUCAGGUGAGACAGUACUGUGUCGUUUGCAGGUCUAGCAGUACGCAGGUGUGUUCAGGUGAGACAGUACUGUGUCGUUUGCAGGUCUAGCAGUACGCAGGUGUUCAGGUGAGACAGUACUGUGUCGUUUGCAGGUCUAGCAGUACGCAGGUGUGUUCAGGUGAG